RNAcentral lists this ribosomal RNA (382 nucleotides) under uncultured bacterium. RNAcentral's name for it is "bacterial SSU rRNA". It matches the Rfam family "Bacterial small subunit ribosomal RNA", at positions 28 to 407 of the family's 1533-position model. The record is from RNAcentral.
GAUGAACGCUAGCGGCAGGCUUAAUACAUGCAAGUCGUGGGGCAGCAGGGGUAGCAAUACCCGCUGGCGACCGGCAAACGGGUGCGGAACACGUACGCAACCUUCCUUUAACUGGAGAAUAGCCCCUCGAAAGAGGGAUUAAUACUCCGUAACAUAUUGAUAAGGCAUCUUAUUAAUAUUAUAGCUCCGGCGGUUAAAGAUGGGCGUGCGCCUGAUUAGGUAGUUGGCGGGGUAACGGCCCACCAAGCCUACGAUCAGUAACUGGUGUGAGAGCACGACCAGUCACACGGGCACUGAGACACGGGCCCGACUCCUACGGGAGGCAGCAGUAAGGAAUAUUGGUCAAUGGACGCAAGUCUGAACCAGCCAUGCCGCGUGAAGG